Molecule: ribosomal RNA, 466 nt
Filed under: uncultured bacterium
Lineage: Bacteria
Description: partial 16S ribosomal RNA
Rfam family: Bacterial small subunit ribosomal RNA
Source: RNAcentral
GAUGAACGCUGGCGGCGUGCUUAACACAUGCAAGUCGAACGGAAAGGCCGGAGCUUGCUUCGGUACUCGAGUUGCCAACGGGUAAGCAACCCGUAGGUGAUCUGUCCCGUACCUCGGGAUAUGCUUGGGCAACUUGGUCUAAUCCCGGCUAUGACAAAUCCUUUGUUGGGGUUCUGGAAUGCUUUUGCGUUAUGGGUUGAGAUCGCGGCCUAUCAGCUUGGUGGUGUGGUAUGGGCCUACCAAGGCGUCGACGCGUAGCCGGCCUGGGAUGGUCUACGGCCACAUUGGGACUGAGAUACGGCCCAGACUACUACGGGAGGCAGCAGUGCAGUAUAUUGCACAAUGCGCGCAAGCCUGAUGCAGCGACGCCGCGUGGGGGAUGACGGCCUUCGGGUUGUAUUCUACUUUCGCAACCGACGAGGCUUUUGUGACGGUAGGUUGAGAAGAAGCUCCGGCUAACUACGUG